Molecule: ribosomal RNA, 251 nt
Filed under: uncultured prokaryote
Description: partial 16S ribosomal RNA
Rfam family: Bacterial small subunit ribosomal RNA
Source: RNAcentral
ACGUAGGGUGCGAGCGUUAAUCGGAAUUACUGGGCGUAAAGCGUGCGCAGGCGGUUGUGCAAGACAGAUGUGAAAUCCCCGGGCUCAACCUGGGAACUGCAUUUGUGACUGCACGACUAGAGUACGGCAGAGGGGGGUAGAAUUCCACGUGUAGCAGUGAAAUGCGUAGAGAUGUGGAGGAAUACCGAUGGCGAAGGCAGCCCCCUGGGCCGAUACUGACGCUCAUGCACGAAAGCGUGGGGAGCAAACAG